GUUGGAGCAAGCACUGACACUUCCGUCGCUCAAUCUUUCUGCCGAUUUUAAAGCGAUGUUGAAAGUUAUCCAUCCCGAGGUCCUCUCCUUGCUGGCCAAGAAUGUUGAACUGAAGGCCAAAAGUACUCAAUAUCUUCGCGCCGUAUCUGAAAAAGAGUCUUUGCGUCUGGAGAUCAAUAAGGCUGAGGACGAGUUGAAAGAAAUCUCUUUCGAAGUCAUGAUUGAAGACUCUUUGAUGGUUAGUUUGGCUGCUCAGAUGAAGGAACUUCAAGCCAAAAUGGACGACUGCAAGGCGAGAAUGGCUGCUAAAAAGCGCAACGCCUCCCAGGGAAUUGAGCGAACUAAGUCUUUGGUCGAGCAGUACAAGAAGUUGGAAGUUGAUGAUGAUGUCGUGGCCGAAUUGAACAUCACUUCCUCUCGGCAGAACGAGGAUUGGGAGAAACUUAGGGAACGAAUUCGUUCAGUAUGAGGUGGAUUGUAAUUAAGACAUAUGACGC
Molecule: long non-coding RNA, 497 nt
Filed under: Olea europaea subsp. europaea
Lineage: Eukaryota; Viridiplantae; Streptophyta; Magnoliopsida; Lamiales; Oleaceae
Source: RNAcentral